UUCCGGUUGAUCCCGCCGGAGGCUACCGCUAUUGGAGUUCGAUUAAGCCAUGCGAGUCGCGAGUCUUAGGGACUCGGCGUACCGCUCAGUAACACGUGGGUAACCUGCCCUAUGCUGGGGGAUAACCUCGGGAAACUGAGAAUAAUACCCCAUAGUUCACCACGCCUGGAACGGUGGGUGGAUGAAAGCUCCGGCGGCAUAGGAUGGGCCUGCGGCGUAUCAGGUUGUAGGGGGUGUAAUGUACCCUCUAGCCAUCUACGCGUACGGGUGUUGGGAGACAUCGCCCGGAGAUGGAUUCUGAGACACGAAUCCAGACCCUACGGGGUGCAGCAGGCGCGAAAACUUGGCAAUGCGAGCAAUCGUGACCAGGGAACUCCAAGUGCAUCGGGUAAGACCGAUGCUUUUCUUGACUCUUCAAAGGUCUUGGAAUAAGGGGUGGGUAAGGACGGUGCCAGCCGCCGCGGUAAUACCGGCGCCUCAAGUGGUAGUCGCUUUUAUUGGGCCUAAAACGUCCGUAGCCGGUCUGAUACAUUCGUGGGUAAAUCAACUAGCUCAACUAGUUGAAUUCUGCGAGGACGGUCAGACUUGGGACCGGGAGAGGUGUGGGGUACGCUCAGGGUAGGGGUAAAAUCCUGUCAUCCUAAGCGGACCACCUGUUGCGAAGGCGCCACACUAGAACGGAUCCGACGGUCAGGGACGAAGCCUAGGGGCACGAACCGGAUUAGAUACCCGGGUAGUCCUAGGUGUAAACGCUGUGGACUUGAUGUUGGGGGCGCUCCGAGCGCACUCAGUGUCGAAGCGAAGGUGAUAAGUCCACUGCCUGGGGAGUACGGUCGCAAGGCUGAAACUUAAAGGAAUUGGCGGGGGAGCACCGCAACCUGAGGAUUGUGCGGUUUAAUUGGAUUCAACGCCGGA
RNAcentral lists this ribosomal RNA (915 nucleotides) under uncultured marine archaeon. RNAcentral describes it as "bacterial SSU rRNA". It matches the Rfam family "Archaeal small subunit ribosomal RNA", at positions 1 to 922 of the family's 1478-position model. The record is from RNAcentral.